GUCUGGAGCCCUUCCACCCUGGCUUCAUCUUGGAAGCUAAGCAGGGUAGGGACUGGCUAGAAUGUGGUAUGGGAGACUGCCUGGGAAAACUGGGUGCUGAAAAAC
Molecule: ribosomal RNA, 105 nt
Filed under: Gorilla gorilla gorilla (western lowland gorilla)
Lineage: Eukaryota; Metazoa; Chordata; Mammalia; Primates; Hominidae
Source: RNAcentral